CGUGUAGGUGGCUAAUUAAGUCAGGUGUGAAAUUCUUCCGCUUAACGGGAGAAGUGCACUUGAAACUGCUUAGCUAGAGUACGGGAGAGGAAGGUGGAAUUCCUGGUGUAGAGGUGAAAUUCAUAGAUAUCGGGAAGAACACCGGUGGCGAAGGCGGCCUUCUGGCCCGAUACUGACGCUGAGACGCGAAAGCGUGGGGAGCAAACAGGAUUAGAUACCCUGGUAGUCCACGCCGUAAACGUUGGGCACUAGGUGUGGGAGGUUUUUAUUCCUUCUUUGCCGAAGCUAACGCAUUAAGUGCCCCGCCCGGGGAGUACGGUCGCAAGGCUAAA
This 332-nucleotide ribosomal RNA is filed under the name uncultured bacterium. RNAcentral's name for it is "bacterial SSU rRNA". It matches the Rfam family "Bacterial small subunit ribosomal RNA", at positions 568 to 898 of the family's 1533-position model. The record is from RNAcentral.